GAUGAACGCUGGCGGCGUGCCUAACACAUGCAAGUCGAACGAUGAAACCGCCCUCGGGCGGACAUGAAGUGGCGAACGGGUGAGUAACACGUGACCAACCUGCCCCUUGCUCCGGGACAACCUUGGGAAACCGAGGCUAAUACCGGAUACUCCUCGCCCCCCUCCUGGGGGGCCCGGGAAAGCCCAGACGGCAAGGGAUGGGAUCGCGGCCCAUUAGGUAGUAGGCGGGGUAACGGCCCACCUAGCCCGCGAUGGGUAGCCGGGUUGAGAGACCGACCGGCCACAUUGGGACUGAGAUACGGCCCAGACUCCUACGGGAGGCAGCAGUGGGGAAUUUUGCGCAAUGGGGGAAACCCUGACGCAGCAACGCCGCGUGCGGGACGACGGCCUUCGGGUUGUAAACCGCUUUCAGCAGGGAAGAAAUUCGACGGUA
RNAcentral lists this ribosomal RNA (433 nucleotides) under uncultured bacterium. RNAcentral describes it as "bacterial SSU rRNA". It matches the Rfam family "Bacterial small subunit ribosomal RNA", at positions 28 to 477 of the family's 1533-position model. The record is from RNAcentral.